GAUGAACGCUGGCGGCGUGCCUAAUACAUGCAAGUCGUGCGAACAGAUGAGGAGGUUGCUCCUCUGACGGUAACGGCGGAAGGGUGAGGAAAACGUGGAUAACCUACCUAUAGGACUGCGAUAAGUUAGGGAAACCGGAGCUAGAACCGGAUAAUAGAUGGAACGGGAUGGUUCAAUAGUUAAAGACGGUGUUGAUGUAACUUAUGGAUGUAUCCGCGCCGGAUUAGCUAGUUGGUAAGGUAACGGCUUACCAAGGCAACGAUGCGUAGCCGACCUGAGAGGGUGAACGCGCACAGAGGGACUGAGCCACGGUACAGAGUCCUACGGGAGGCAGCAGCAGGGACGCUACGGCACUGGGGGGAAGCCUGACGGAGCGGCGCCGCGUGAGUGAUGCAGGUCUUCGGAUCGGAAGACUGUGUUAUUAGGGAAGACCGAAUGUGUAAGUAACUAUGCACGUCUUGACGGUACCUACACAGAAAGCAACGGCUAACUACGUG
RNAcentral lists this ribosomal RNA (497 nucleotides) under uncultured bacterium. Its description in RNAcentral is "partial 16S ribosomal RNA". It matches the Rfam family "Bacterial small subunit ribosomal RNA", at positions 28 to 507 of the family's 1533-position model. The record is from RNAcentral.